RNAcentral lists this long non-coding RNA (382 nucleotides) under Panax ginseng (ginseng). RNAcentral describes it as "long non-coding RNA (PGIN_LNC008976)". Lineage: Eukaryota; Viridiplantae; Streptophyta; Magnoliopsida; Apiales; Araliaceae. The record is from RNAcentral.
UUGAAUAUUUUAAAAGCACAGUGACUAAUUGCUUAAAACACUAUAACCACAGUGGGGUAAAAGUGCUUUUUACCUCAAUUUAAUACAAGCCCAAUUCUUAUCUUACUAAGCCCACGAAUUACAUAUUCAGCAAGGAUUUUUAGAUUUUUAGGGUUAUAGUUUAUAAAUUCCUAUUAGGAUUUGGAUUGUUUUGAGUAGUAUAAAUAGAGGUUUAAGUUGAUGUAAUCAAACACAAUAUAAAUUAUUCAUUAUUAAAUAAACUUGUGAGGUUAUUCUCUACUUUUGGUUCUUUGAAGAAUUCCUAAGAAAUUAGUAGUUUCUUAGUUAUUUCUUUGAUAUUCAAUUUGACUUAUCAUACAACAAUUCAUAGUUGUGUGUGGCG